RNAcentral lists this non-coding RNA (74 nucleotides) under unclassified sequences. Its description in RNAcentral is "Gut-1 RNA". It matches the Rfam family "Gut-1 RNA". RNAcentral also lists the same sequence under 1 other name. The record is from RNAcentral.
CAAUGAAAUUCGUUUCUCUGGAACGAGUGAAAUAUCUUAGAUGUGAAAUAUGCCUGCGGCAUAUGAAAACAGGU